GGCUCAAUCUCUGGUCCUGCAGCC
This 24-nucleotide microRNA is filed under the name Homo sapiens (human). RNAcentral describes it as "hsa-miR-7158-5p". The record is from miRBase by way of RNAcentral. Lineage: Eukaryota; Metazoa; Chordata; Mammalia; Primates; Hominidae.